RNAcentral lists this ribosomal RNA (484 nucleotides) under uncultured bacterium. Its description in RNAcentral is "partial 16S ribosomal RNA". It matches the Rfam family "Bacterial small subunit ribosomal RNA", at positions 30 to 507 of the family's 1533-position model. The record is from RNAcentral.
AUUGAACGCUGGCGGCAGGCCUAACACAUGCAAGUCGAGCGGAUGAAGGGAGCUUGCUCCUGGAUUCAGCGGCGGACGGGUGAGUAAUGCUUAGGAAUCUGCCUGGUAGUGGGGGAUAACGUCCGGAAACGGGCGCCAAUACCGCAUACGUCCUGAGGGAGAAAGUGGGGGAUCUUCGGACCUCACGCUAUCAGAUGAGCCUAGGUCGGAUUAGCUAGUUGGUGGGGUAAAGGCCUACCAAGGCGACGAUCCGUAACUGGUCUGAGAGGAUGAUCAGUCACACUGGAACUGAGACACGGUCCAGACUCCUACGGGAGGCAGCAGUGGGGAAUAUUGGACAAUGGGCGAAAGCCUGAUCCAGCCAUGCCGCGUGUGUGAAGAAGGUCUUCGGAUUGUAAAGCACUUUAAGUUGGGAGGAAGGGCAGUAAGUUAAUACCUUGCUGUUUUGACGUUACCAACAGAAUAAGCACCGGCUAACUUCGUG